RNAcentral lists this ribosomal RNA (261 nucleotides) under uncultured bacterium. Its description in RNAcentral is "partial 16S ribosomal RNA". It matches the Rfam family "Bacterial small subunit ribosomal RNA", at positions 793 to 1055 of the family's 1533-position model. The record is from RNAcentral.
GUCCACGCUGUAAACGAUGGGUACUAGGUGUCGCGGGUGUUGACCCUGCGGUGCCGCAGCUAACGCAUUAAGUACCCGCCUGGGGAUUACGGUCGCAAGAUUAAACUCAAAGGAAUUGACGGGGCCCGCACAAGCGGUGGAGCAUGUGGUUUAAUUCGACGCAACGCGAAGAACCUUACCUGGGUUAGACAACGGUGGAUCGUCCUGGAGACAGGGCUUUCCCUUCGGGGACCGCCGGUUCAGGUGCUGCAUGGCUGUCGU